AUUGAACGCUGGCGGCAUGCUUUACACAUGCAAGUCGAACGGCAGCACGGGCUUCGGCCUGGUGGCGAGUGGCGAACGGGUGAGUAAUAUAUCGGAACGUACCCAGAAGUGGGGGAUAACGUAGCGAAAGUUACGCUAAUACCGCAUACGAUCUAUGGAUGCAAGCAGGGGACCGCAAGGCCUUGUGCUCCUGGAGCGGCCGAUAUCUGAUUAGCUAGUUGGUGAGGUAAAGGCUCACCAAGGCGACGAUCAGUAGCUGGUCUGAGAGGACGACCAGCCACACUGGAACUGAGACACGGUCCAGACUCCUACGGGAGGCAGCAGUGGGGAAUUUUGGACAAUGGGCGCAAGCCUGAUCCAGCAAUGCCGCGUGAGUGAAGAAGGCCUUCGGGUUGUAAAGCUCUUUUGUCAGGGAAGAAACGGUAGAGGCUAAUAUCCUUUGCUAAUGACGGUACCUGAAGAAUAAGCACCGGCUAACUACGUG
Molecule: ribosomal RNA, 484 nt
Filed under: uncultured bacterium
Lineage: Bacteria
Description: partial 16S ribosomal RNA
Rfam family: Bacterial small subunit ribosomal RNA
Source: RNAcentral